UACGUAGGUGGCAAGCGUUGUCCGGAUUUACUGGGCGUAAAGAGCGCGCAGGCGGUCGUUCAAGUCGGGUGUGAAAGCCCCCGGCUCAACUGGGGAGGGUCACGCGAUACUGAUCGACUCGAAGGCAGGAGAGGGUAGUGGAAUUCCCGGUGUAGUGGUGAAAUGCGUAGAUAUCGGGAGGAACACCAGGGGCGAAGGCGACUACCUGGCCUGUUCUUGACGCUGAGGCGCGAAAGCUAGGGGAGCAAACGGG
Molecule: ribosomal RNA, 253 nt
Filed under: uncultured bacterium
Lineage: Bacteria
Description: partial 16S ribosomal RNA
Rfam family: Bacterial small subunit ribosomal RNA
Source: RNAcentral